RNAcentral lists this ribosomal RNA (464 nucleotides) under uncultured bacterium. Its description in RNAcentral is "partial 16S ribosomal RNA". It matches the Rfam family "Bacterial small subunit ribosomal RNA", at positions 28 to 507 of the family's 1533-position model. The record is from RNAcentral.
GACGAACGCUGGCGGCGUGCUUAACACAUGCAAGUCGAGCGGUAAGGCCUCUUCGGGGGUACACGAGCGGCGAACGGGUGAGUAACACGUGGGUGACCUGCCCUCAGCUCUGGGAUAAGCCUGGGAAACUGGGUCUAAUACCGGAUAUGACCACAUGUUGCAUGGUGUGUGGUGGAAAGUUUUUUCGGCUGGGGAUGGGCCCGCGGCCUAUCAGCUUGUUGGUGGGGUGAUGGCCUACCAAGGCGACGACGGGUAGCCGGCCUGAGAGGGCGACCGGCCACACUGGGACUGAGACACGGCCCAGACUCCUACGGGAGGCAGCAGUGGGGAAUAUUGCGCAAUGGGCGGAAGCCUGACGCAGCGACGCCGCGUGGGGGAUGACGGCCUUCGGGUUGUAAACCUCUUUCGACCGGGACGAAGCGUAAGUGACGGUACCGGUAGAAGAAGCACCGGCCAACUACGUG